GAUAAACGCUGGCGGCGUGCUUAACACAUGCAAGUCGAACGAAGUUUUUCUUUCGGGAGGAACUUAGUGGCGGACGGGUGAGUAACGCGUGGGUAACCUGCCCUGUACAGGGGGACAACAGCUGGAAACGGCUGCUAAUACCGCAUAAGCCCUUAGCACUGCAUGGUGCAUAGGGAAAAGGAGCAAUCCGGUACAGGAUGGACCCGCGUCUGAUUAGCCAGUUGGCAGGGUAACGGCCUACCAAAGCGACGAUCAGUAGCCGAUCUGAGAGGAUGUACGGCCACAUUGGGACUGAGACACGGCCCAGACUCCUACGGGAGGAAGCAGUGGGGAAUAUUGCACAAUGGAGGAAACUCUGAUGCAGCGACGCCGCGUGAGUGAAGAAGUAUUUCGGUAUGUAAAGCUCUAUCAGCAGGAAAGAAAAUGACGGUACCUGACUAAGAAGCACCGGCUAAAUACGUG
This 462-nucleotide ribosomal RNA is filed under the name uncultured bacterium. RNAcentral describes it as "partial 16S ribosomal RNA". It matches the Rfam family "Bacterial small subunit ribosomal RNA", at positions 28 to 507 of the family's 1533-position model. The record is from RNAcentral.